AGUAACUGCUGGUACCUUGACGGUACCUAUAGUCGUUGCUCCAGAAAGCCACGGCUAACUACGUGCCAGCAGCCGCGGUAAUACGUAGGUGGCAAGCGUUGUCCGGAAUUAUUGGGCGUAAAGCGCGCGCAGGUGGUUUCUUAAGUCUGAUGUGAAAGCCCACGGCUAUGCUCCGUGGAGGGUCAUUGGAAACUGGGGAACUUGAGUGCAAGAGGAAAGUGGAAUUCCAAGUGUAGCGGUGAAAUGCGUAGAGAUUUGGAGGAACACCAGUGGCGAAGGCGACUUUCUGGUCUGUAACUGACACUGAGGCGCGAAAGCGUGGGGAGCGAACAGGAUUAGAUACCCUGGUAGUCCACGCCGUAAACGAUGAGUGCUAAGUGUUAGAGGGUUUCCGCCCUUUAGUGCUGCAGUUAGCGCAUUAAGCACUCCGCCUGGGGAGUACGGUCGCAAGACUGAAACUCAAAGGAAUUGACGGGGGCCCGCACAAGCGGUGGAGCAUGUGGUUUAAUUCGAAGCAACGCGAAGAACCUUACCAGGUCUUGACAUCCCACUGCCCGGUAUAGAGAUAUACCUUUCCCUUCGGGGACAGUGGUGACAGGUGGUGCAUGGUUGUCGUCAGCUCGUGUCGUGAGAUGUUGGGUUAAGUCCCGCAACGAUAGUCACCCUUGAUCUUAGUUGCCAGCAUUCAGUUGGGCACUCUAAGAUGACUGCCGGUGACAAACCGGAGGAAGGUGGGGAUGACGUCAAAUCAUCAUGCCCCUUAUGACCUGGGCUACACACGUGCUACAAUGGAUGGUACAAAGGGCUGCGAGACUGCGAAGUUAAGCGAAUCCCAUAAAACCAUUCUCAGUUCGGAUUGCAGGCUGCAACUCGCCUGCAUGAAGCUGGAAUCGCUAGUAAUAGCUCGUAGGAUC
This 914-nucleotide ribosomal RNA is filed under the name Metabacillus litoralis. RNAcentral's name for it is "bacterial SSU rRNA". It matches the Rfam family "Bacterial small subunit ribosomal RNA", at positions 445 to 1356 of the family's 1533-position model. Lineage: Bacteria; Bacillati; Bacillota; Bacilli; Caryophanales; Bacillaceae. The record is from RNAcentral.